UCUCCCUUUUAGGGUUAAAACGUCAACAUUUUAGACGAGUCUCCUAUUUUUAGGGACUGGUGUUAUUUUUUGACGUGUCUUCUAUUUUUAGGGACC
This 96-nucleotide microRNA precursor is filed under the name Populus trichocarpa (black cottonwood). RNAcentral's name for it is "miR478b stem-loop (ptc-MIR478b)". Its record names the gene ptc-MIR478b. It matches the Rfam family "MIR478 microRNA precursor family". Lineage: Eukaryota; Viridiplantae; Streptophyta; Magnoliopsida; Malpighiales; Salicaceae. The record is from miRBase by way of RNAcentral.